UUCCAAAUACCAAAAAUGUUGGAUGAACUUAUUUCAUUGCUGAUAGGUGAUUGUAUUGUAUCUAAUUUGGUAGACCUUAAACGUUGCAAUUAAAAUGCACAAUGUUGUGCUUUUCUUUGUGUCUUUAACUCUUAAUAUUUGGAAGACAGUUGUGGCCAUAUUAAGGAUAACUGGUCCAAGCUAUGUUUAUGAAGCUCGCCACUCGCUCCUUUAUGUUCUUUUAUCCAUUUUUUAAAAUUUUCCAUUCGAUGGUGGAUUUCAG
RNAcentral lists this unclassified non-coding RNA (262 nucleotides) under Hevea brasiliensis (rubber tree). The record is from RNAcentral. Lineage: Eukaryota; Viridiplantae; Streptophyta; Magnoliopsida; Malpighiales; Euphorbiaceae.